This is a non-coding RNA of Pasteurellaceae bacterium NI1060, 114 nucleotides long. The record is from Rfam. NCBI's taxonomy places the organism in Bacteria, Pseudomonadati, Pseudomonadota, Gammaproteobacteria, Pasteurellales, Pasteurellaceae.
UCCUUGAUAUUCUGUUUGAGUAUCCUGAAACGGGCUUUUCAAGAUCAGAAUAUCAAUUAAUUUAGAAUAUAGGAGUGCAUAGUGGCCCGUAUUGCAGGCAUUAACAUUCCUGAU